Molecule: ribosomal RNA, 423 nt
Filed under: uncultured bacterium
Lineage: Bacteria
Description: bacterial SSU rRNA
Rfam family: Bacterial small subunit ribosomal RNA
Source: RNAcentral
GUAAGGAAUAUUGGACAAUGGUCGCAAGACUGAUCCAGCCAUGCCGCGUGCAGGAAGACGGCCCUAUGGGUUGUAAACUGCUUUUGUACCAGAGAAAACCUAUCUACGUGUAGAUAGCUGAUAGUAUGGUAAGAAUAAGCAUCGGCUAACUUCGUGCCAGCAGCCGCGGUAAGACGAAGGAUGCAAGCGUUAUCCGGAUUCAUUGGGUUUAAAGGGUGCGUAGGCGGGCUUGUAAGUCAGUGGUGAAAUCUCUCAGCUUAACUGAGAAACUGCCAUUGAUACUGCAGGCCUAGAGUAUAGAUGACGUUGGCGGAAUAUGACAUGUCGUGGUGAAAUACUUAGAUAUGUCAUAGAACACCGAUUGCGAAGGCAGCUAACGAAACUAUAACUGACGCUGAGGCACGAAAGUGCGGGGAUCAAACA